GACGAACGCUGGCGGCGGGCUUAACACAUGCAAGUCGAACGGAAAGGCCCUGCUUUGGUGGGGUGCUCGAAUGGCGAACGGGUGAGUAACACGUUAGUAACCUGCCCUUGACUUUGGGAUAACUUCAGGAAACUGGGGCUAAUACCGGAUAGGAGCUCCUGCUGCAGGGUGGGGGUUGGAAAGUUUCGGCGGUUGGGGAUGGACUCGCGGCUUAUCAGCUUGUUGGUGGGGUAGUGGCUUACCAAGGCUUUGACGGGUAGCCGGCCUGAGAGGGUGACCGGCCACAUUGGGACUGAGAUACGGCCCAGACUACUCCGGGAGGCAGCAGUGGGGAAUAUUGCACAAUGGGCGGAAGCAUGAUGCAGCAACGCCGCGUGCGGGAUGACGGCCUUCGGGUUGUAAACCGCAUUCGCCUGUGACGAAGCGUGAGUGACGGUACUGGGUAAAGAAGCACCGGCUAACUCCGUG
This 468-nucleotide ribosomal RNA is filed under the name uncultured bacterium. RNAcentral's name for it is "partial 16S ribosomal RNA". It matches the Rfam family "Bacterial small subunit ribosomal RNA", at positions 28 to 507 of the family's 1533-position model. The record is from RNAcentral.